AUGGCCGGCCGCCGCCGCAGCCGAUCCCGAAUCCACACCAGCGACGACGACGACGGGGCGACCCGUCCCAGCCGCCGCCGCCGCCGCGCGGAGGUGGCUGUCCCUCUGCCGGACGGCGGCGAUACCCUGUCGGAGUCGCUGCAGGACGACAGCAGACCUCCUCCUGCGCCAUCGGAGUCGCUGCCGUUGCCGUUGGACAUGCUUUGGAAGAUCCUCCUCCUUCUGCCACCGCAGCCGUCCUCCCGCCUCCGCGCAUCCGCCGUCUCCCGGCGCUGGCGAGGCGUCGCCACCGACCCCAACUUUAAAAGCCAGUUCCGUGUCCACCGCAGGAACUGCAAGCCGCCACCCAUUCUCGGAUUAUUUGUGCGCCGAUGGAAGAUGGAGUUCAGGCAGGGCUUCCUCCACCCUUCCGACCGUGUCCCUGCCGAGCGCUUCUCCAUCCCGUCCCGCUACGACAUCCGUGGGUGCCGACAUGGUCGUGUGCUCGCUGUACACCGUGAGUAUGCAAAGCUUCUUGUGUUUGCCCCACUCUCUGGCGAGGUGUGCACCCUGUCCGUUCCCGAUGAGUUCAGGCCACCGUCUUGCUUCCACCUCAAUGGGGCGGUGCUCUGUGAUGCCAACGACCACGGCCAUGUUCAUGGCAUGUGCCACCAGAGCCCCUUCAAGGUGGUAUUGCUUUCAAGGUAUUCUAUGGAAGAUCGAUUCAUUACCUCUGUUUACUCGUCAAGGUCCAAAAAAUGGAGUGUCGUCGUUUCAAAAGAGGCUCCAUGCUCCGUUGAUUCUGACGUUCCGGCGAUCCUGGUUAAUAAUCGACUCUACUGGCUGCUUUCGUCUAAAGCCCGUGGUCUCCUUGAGUUUGAUUUGGAUAGGCAGAGCCUAACUGUGAUCGAGUGGCCUACUAGUAUGAUUGAUUCCGGAAGCCAUGGGAUGAUCAAAACAGAGGAAGGCGCAGUUGGCUUGGUCAGGUUUUCAUUCCCGAGCCUAGAAAUAUGGCAGAGGAAGAUCAAUCAGGGUGUUGCCACGUGGUUGGAUCCAAGGAUAGUUGAUAUGCAUAACGUUCUUGGGAUCCCCCCUCAGAUUGGUAGGAGAAGAUGGCCAUGCAGUUUGAGAGGCUAUGAGGAGGAAAACCAUGUGAUCAUUCUGUAUGUUGAUGAUAGUGCCUACAUGGUUGAUCUUAAGUCAAUGCAAUCCACAAAACUUGAUGGAAGCCGUUCGAUGAAUCGCUGUCACCCUUUCACCAGUUUCUAUCCACCAGACAUGGCCAUAUAA
RNAcentral lists this ribosomal RNA (1269 nucleotides) under Triticum aestivum (bread wheat). RNAcentral's name for it is "partial small subunit ribosomal RNA". Lineage: Eukaryota; Viridiplantae; Streptophyta; Magnoliopsida; Poales; Poaceae. The record is from RNAcentral.